Molecule: RNA transcript, 1512 nt
Organism: Suncus etruscus (white-toothed pygmy shrew)
Lineage: Eukaryota; Metazoa; Chordata; Mammalia; Eulipotyphla; Soricidae
Gene: DESI1
Gene name: desumoylating isopeptidase 1
Exons: 7
Source: RefSeq, a predicted model, not a curated record
CCCCCUCGUUCUCCCGGCCGGUCCCGAUGGAGCCGCCGCACCUCUACCCCGUGAAGCUCUACGUGUACGACCUGUCCAAGGGCCUGGCCCGGCGCCUCAGCCCCAUCAUGCUGGGGAAACAACUGGAAGGCAUCUGGCACACCUCCAUAGUUGUGCAUAAGGAUGAGUUCUUCUAUGGUGCCGGUGGUAUCUCCAGCUGUUCCCCGGGAGGGACGAUGCUUGGGCCCCCAGACCGUGUGGUUGAUGUGGGGAGCACUGAAGUCACAGAGGAAAUCUUUCUGGAGUACCUGUCCUCCAUGAGGGAGUCUGAGUUCCGAGGGGAGGCCUACAAACUCCUUGACCACAACUGCAACACCUUCAGCAACGAAGUGGCCCAGUUCCUGACUGGGCGGAAGAUCCCUUCCUACAUCACCGACCUUCCCUCUGAAAUCCUCUCCACGCCCUUCGGACAGGCCCUGCAGCACAUGCUGAACAACACCCAGAUCCAGAUUCCCGGCACCAGCGCCCUAGACCGGCCCAAUGGUCAGAAAUAACAGGACAGCCCUGACCGCUUGCAUCUCCAGGGCUUUUCCUUUUUUAAAGUUUUUGUUUUGUUUGUUUGUUUGUUUUUUGUUUUUGGGCCACACCCAGUGAUGCUCAGGGGUUACUCCUGGCUAUGCGCUCAGAAAUUGCUCCUGGCUUGGUGGGUCAGUCCGGGUCAGCCAGGUGCAAGGCAGACGCCAGCUCGGGAGGCCAGGAUUCCCCCCCUCCCAAAGAAAGGGGAGAGCAGGUUGCAGGUGGGGGAAAUGAAUAGGGUUCGGAUAGGCUCUGAGCUCUGCUGACCCUUCUGACUGCUCCUGUCACCCUCACACCUGAAUUUCCUCCUUUCCUGGGACUGGCUAUAGACACGGAUGUCCAUUGAUGUCUCUCAUCACCUCACCACUGAAUUCUGCCUUAGCCUUUGCCUCUGACUCCCCUGACCACCCAAAGUCAAAUGAUAUUUUGGAACUUCUAAGAUUGGAGGCCGAGCUGAUGAACAGUUGAGUUCCUUGUCAGUGCUGGAUGGAUGGAACGGGUGAAGACGCUGCAAAAGGGGCCUGGCCCAUGGAGCACAGGCCUUGGGCUGGGUUUCUCCAGGACUGGUAGCCCUGGUCUCAUUCACUCUGCCUCCCACCUGCAGCCUGUGCAGCUCCUCCAUAUCUGCAGGUCCAGCUGGUUCCCUUCCUCUCAGCAAUUGCCCCAGACCAGGACUGAGGACACUACCACAGAGAGUGGUUGGGAGAGGAGCCUCAUCCCCUGCAGCCCUGGGUUGUGUGUGUGGGGGUGGGUGUAUCAAAAGCCCCCUUCCCAGAGCCCCAGGACUUGCUGGCCCCGCUUGGACAUGCCAUGGGCAGACCCCACAUACAGAGGCCUGCAGCCUUUGGGGACAGGGUAGGUGGGGAACAGAGUCAGGCCGCAAGAACAAAGCUUGGAGCACAGCGGUGUCAGUUUUCUCUGGUGUUUCUAAUGCAAUAAACUCAUUUCAGCCCACCA